Molecule: long non-coding RNA, 314 nt
Filed under: Pogona vitticeps (central bearded dragon)
Lineage: Eukaryota; Metazoa; Chordata; Lepidosauria; Squamata; Agamidae
Description: lncRNA (ENSPVIG00000009532.1)
Source: RNAcentral
CUGUUUUUCAAGAUGCUACUGCUGCUGAUUUGUAAAUUUUGUAAAUUCCACACAGAACUAAGUUAGAACUGAGAAGAGACUUUCACUAUGUACUGAACCUAUGAGACACUGAAAACAAGGAAUUCCAGUACAAAAGAGGUAGCUGGAAAAUAUGGGAAGAUGAGAAAGAAGGAUAUGGUAGAGUAGAUAGAGAACAGAGGCUAAAAUGGACAAGUUGUUUCAACUCUACUUAAUGUCACUAGGCUUCUUCUAAAACACCAGAAAACAGAGCCUUCAGGCUGGGCAAGUUAGUAGCUGGCUCCUGCAGUUACAGG